RNAcentral lists this ribosomal RNA (195 nucleotides) under uncultured Cryptanaerobacter sp. RNAcentral describes it as "partial 16S ribosomal RNA". It matches the Rfam family "Bacterial small subunit ribosomal RNA", at positions 1190 to 1382 of the family's 1533-position model. The record is from RNAcentral. Lineage: Bacteria; Bacillati; Bacillota; Clostridia; Eubacteriales; Desulfotomaculaceae.
UCAUCAUGCCCUUAUGUUCUGGGCUACACACGUGCUACAAUGGCCGGUACAGACGGACGCAAAGCCGCGAGGUGGAGCAAAUCCUAAAAAAGCCGGUCUACAGUUCGGAUUGCAGGCUGCAAUUCGCCUGCAUGAAGUCGGAAUCGCUAGUAAUCGCAGGUCAGCAUACUGCGGUGAAUACGUUCCCGGGCCGUU